UCAUUUCAUCCCUUUAAUUAAUAGCUUGUCAUCAAAAUGAAAGGCAAAACUUUUACUAAUUUGUGUUAUUUGUGAGCGUACAAAUAGAGGAUCCAAACCGGUUAUAUCUAUAUUUCAGUUCUGAUAAAUAAGAUGAAAGAAUAACUUUUCAAUCGGCAUGGAGGAAUCUUUUGAUCGCUUUGGAAGCAAUCUUGAUAGUUGGCGUUUUUGUUGUGACGGCUUGUUUAUGGAAAUGGGCUUUGACAUGCGGGGUAAUUGUAGUUGCUUGACACAUAGCCUACUUGAUUAUGAUUUUUGAAUUUGUCAUUCGUGGUCAGAGUCGGUCCAAAGACUAAUCAUGUUUAAAGCUCAACAAAAUUUGAUGUCCAUUUACAACAAAUAAAAAUAGAAAAUUGUUUUAAUAUUUUCGAUUACCAAGGAUCGAACCAAUCACUUUCUACCUUCAAAGCAC
RNAcentral lists this small RNA (451 nucleotides) under Arabidopsis thaliana (thale cress). RNAcentral describes it as "putative long intergenic non-coding RNA". The record is from RNAcentral. Lineage: Eukaryota; Viridiplantae; Streptophyta; Magnoliopsida; Brassicales; Brassicaceae.